Molecule: long non-coding RNA, 1553 nt
Organism: Coturnix japonica (Japanese quail)
Lineage: Eukaryota; Metazoa; Chordata; Aves; Galliformes; Phasianidae
Source: Ensembl
AACCCUUUAAUUUUUUGGGUUAAAAUCGCCCAUUUUUGGGUCAUUUUUGCUUCAAAAUUAUACAUUUUUAGCAACGACUGAAUAAAUUUGUUCCAUUUUGGUCAAUUUCUGCCAUUUUUGGGUCAAUUUUUACCAUUUUGGGUUCAAAUUUUGGCCAUUUUUGGGUCAUUUUUGACCUUUAUUUUGGUUAAAAUCGCCCAUUUUUGGGUCAUUUUGGGUCAAAAUUGCCAUUUUUAGCAACGAUUGAAUCAAUUUGUGCCAUUUUGGGUCAAUUUUUACCAUUUUGGGUCAUUUCUGCCUUUGGGUCAAUUUUGCCCAUUUUGGGUCAUUUUUGACCCUUUAAUUUUUGGGUUAAAAUCGUCCAUUUUUGGGUCAUUUUGGUCAAAUUGCCAUUUUUAGCAACGAUUGAAUAAAUUUGGUGCCAUUUUGGGCAAUUUCUGCCAUUUUUGGGUCAAAUUUCUGCCAUUUUUGGGUCAAUUUUUGGCCCAUUUUGGGUCAUUUUUGGCCCUUUAAUUUUUGGGUUAAAAUCGCCCAUUUUUGGUCAUUUUGGGUCAAAAUUGACAUUUUUAACAUCUUACAUUAAAUAUUGUUCAUUUUUGGGUCAAUUUUCUGCCAUUAUUGGGUUCAAUUUUGGCCCAUUUUGGGUCAUUUUUGACCCUUUAUUUUUGGGUUAAAAUCGCCCAAUUUGGUCAUUUUGGGUCAAAAUUGACAUUUUUAGCAACGAUUGAAUAAAUUUGUUCAUUUUUGGGUCAAUUUUCUGCCAUUUUGGGUCAAUUUCUGCCAUUUUUGGGUCAAUUUUGGCCCAUUUUGGGUCAUUUUUGGGUCUAUUCAUUUUUGGGUUAAAAUCGCCCAUUUUUGGUCAUUUUGGGUCAAAAUUGACAUUUUUAACAUCUACAUUAAAUAUUUGUUCAUUUUUGGGUCAAUUUCUGCCAUUUUUGGGUCAAUUUUGGGUCAUUUUGGGUCAUUUGGACCUUUUAUUUUGGGUUAAAAUCGCCCAUUUUUGGGUCAUUUUGGGUCAAAAUUGUCAUUUUUAGCAACGAUUGAAUCAAUUUGUGCCAUUUUGGUCAAUUCUGCCAUUUUUGGGUCAAUUUCUGCAUUUUGGGUCAAUUUUGUGGGUCAUUUUGGGUCAUGUUUUGACCAUUAAUUUUUGGGUUAAAAUCGCCCAUUUUUGGUCAUUUUGGGUCAAAAUUUGACAUUUUUAGCAAGAUUGAAUCAAUUGUUCAUUUUUGGGUCAAUUUCUGCCAUUUUUGGGUCAAUUUUGGGCCAUUUUGGGUCAUUUUGUGACCCUUUAAUUUUUGGGUUAAAAUCGCCCAUUUUGUGGUCAUUUUGGGUCAAAAUGACAUUUUUAAACAUCUGUAUUAAUAUUUUUGUUCCUUUUUGGGUCAAUUUUGUGGCCAUUUUGGGUCAAUUUCUGCCAUUUUUGGGUCAAUUUUGGCCUAUUUUGGGUCAUUUUUGACCCUUUAAUUUUUGGUUAAAAUCGUCCAUUUUGGGUCAUUUUGGGUCAAAAUUGCCAUUUUUAGCAACGAUUGAAUAAAUUUGGGCCAUUUGGGUCA